This is a long non-coding RNA of Galeopterus variegatus (Sunda flying lemur), 543 nucleotides long. RefSeq lists it as uncharacterized. The record is from RefSeq and is a predicted model, not a curated record. The transcript is spliced from 3 exons. NCBI's taxonomy places the organism in Eukaryota, Metazoa, Chordata, Mammalia, Dermoptera, Cynocephalidae.
UGUUCAGUAAGGUGUGUUGAAUGUGAUGUGUGAUACAAAGACAUGCAUGUGUGAUGUGUUAAGAAAAAAGAUUUUUCUAAUUUCAGAAGGAUUUUUGAAAAGCACGAUUGCCUUGUUCUUUGACACCUGGAAGCAGUACCGCUGAGAAAGACUGGAGUUUGCCCCCUCUGGUGGCCAAGAUCUCUUUCUCUAUCCUGCUGUCAACCUCCUGGCUCCUUCCGCAUUGAAACUGGGCCAUUCGUUCUUGGUCUUUUCCUUCAGAGCUGUUCACUGUUCUUGUCAAUAAAGAUAGUGUUUUUAGAAGAAGCAUCUGAGCAAGAAAAACUGGCCAAACAGUGGUGCUUCAAGCCGUGCGAAGUGAGAGAGCUGAGCCACCAUGAGUUCUUCAUGCCUGGGCUGGUUGAUACACACAUCCAUGCCCCUCAGUACUACUUUGCUGGAAGUAACGUAGACCUGCCACUUUUGGAGUGGCUCACCAAGUACACAUUUCCGACAGAACAAAGAUUCCAGAGCAUUGACUUUGCUGAAGAAGUGUAUACCAGA